RNAcentral lists this ribosomal RNA (553 nucleotides) under uncultured bacterium. RNAcentral describes it as "bacterial SSU rRNA". It matches the Rfam family "Bacterial small subunit ribosomal RNA", at positions 777 to 1328 of the family's 1533-position model. The record is from RNAcentral.
AAUAGAUACCCAGGUAGUCCACCCCGUAAACGUUGGGAACUAGUUAUGGGGUCCUUUCCACGGAUUCCGUGACGCAGCUAACGCAUUAAGUUCCCCGCCUGGGGAGUACGGCCGCAAGGCUAAAACUCAAAGGAAUUGACGGGGACCCGCACAAGCGGCGGAGCAUGCGGAUUAAUUCGAUGCAACGCGAAGAACCUUACCAAGGCUUGACAUACACCAGAACACCCUAGAAAUAGGGGACUCUUUGGACACUGGUGAACAGGUGGUGCAUGGUUGUCGUCAGCUCGUGUCGUGAGAUGUUGGGUUAAGUCCCGCAACGAGCGCAACCCUCGUUCUAUGUUGCCAGCACGUAAUGGUGGGAACUCAUGGGAUACUGCCGGGGUCAACUCGGAGGAAGGUGGGGAUGACGUCAAAUCAUCAUGCCCCUUAUGUCUAGGGCUGCAAACAUGCUACAAUGGCCGGUACAAAGGGCUGCGAUACCGUGAGGUGGAGCGAAUCCCAAAAAGCCGGUCUCAAUUCGGAUUGGGGUCUGCAACUCGACCCCAUGAAGUUG